GAUGAGUUUGAUCGUGGCUCAGGACGAACGCUGGCGGCGUGCCUAAUACAUGCAAGUCGAGCGCGGGAAGCGAGCUGAUCCCUUCGGGGUGACGCUCGUGGAACGAGCGGCGGACGGGUGAGUAACACGUGGGCAACCUGCCUGUAAGAUCGGGAUAACUCCGGGAAACCGGGGCUAAUACCGGGUAAUACUUUCUUUCGCAUGAAGGAAAGUUGAAAGAUGGCUUCUCGCUAUCACUUACAGAUGGGCCCGCGGCGCAUUAGCUAGUUGGUGAGGUAACGGCUCACCAAGGCGACGAUGCGUAGCCGACCUGAGAGGGUGAUCGGCCACACUGGGACUGAGACACGGCCCAGACUCCUACGGGAGGCAGCAGUAGGGAAUCUUCCGCAAUGGACGAAAGUCUGACGGAGCAACGCCGCGUGAACGAUGAAGGUCUUCGGAUCGUAAAGUUCUGUUGUUAGGGAAGAACAAGUACCGUGCGAAUAGAGCGGUAC
Molecule: ribosomal RNA, 494 nt
Filed under: Halobacillus sp.
Lineage: Bacteria; Bacillati; Bacillota; Bacilli; Caryophanales; Bacillaceae
Description: bacterial SSU rRNA
Rfam family: Bacterial small subunit ribosomal RNA
Source: RNAcentral